This 241-nucleotide long non-coding RNA is filed under the name Lathyrus oleraceus (garden pea). RNAcentral's name for it is "Pisum sativum (pea) long non-coding RNA (PSAT_LNC013410)". The record is from RNAcentral. Lineage: Eukaryota; Viridiplantae; Streptophyta; Magnoliopsida; Fabales; Fabaceae.
GUCUAUCCUCGAUCUGACAUCCAAUAAUUUGAACUAUCUGAAAAAUGAGUAGUGAAAUUAUUUUUGUUGAAAAAGUUUAUCGAUUAAUCACUAAUUGGUCACAUUUAUUUGUCUGUGUCUUAGUAGUGGGUCCACACUCGUUCGCCAGAUUUUAACCUCUCUCUUCUAAACCGAAGCAUAAACAACUCUUAUGUUUAGGCUUAUAGUGGGUGUUGUUUGGCGAGUGCCUCUCCGAUUUUUU